AUGGGCGCCUUGGAUCACCUGUCCCGUCUAUGCAACUUGACACAUACAAGGGAAGCCAUCAGGAUUAAGAAAAGGCGGCCACUGACGACGGUGAACAUCAAGGUGAAGAUGGACUGUGAGGGCUGCGAGAGGAGGGUCAAGAGCGCCGUCAAAUCGAUUCGGGGUGUGACGGCAGUGGUGGUGAAUCGCAAGAUCAGCAAGGUGACUGUGACGGGGUACGUGGAGCCUCGCAAGGUGCUGGCGAGGGUGAAGAGGACUGGGAAGACGACGGCGGAUAUGUGGCCGUACGUGCCCUACACGGUGGCCACCUACCCCUACGUCGGCGGCUCCUACGACAAGAAGGCGCCGGCGGGCCUGGUCCGCAACGUGCCGCAGGCCAUGGCCGACCCGGCCGCGCCGGAGGUCAAGUACAUGAACAUGUUCAACGACGAGGACGUUACCGCUUGCACCGUCAUGUGA
This 459-nucleotide ribosomal RNA is filed under the name Triticum aestivum (bread wheat). RNAcentral's name for it is "partial small subunit ribosomal RNA". The record is from RNAcentral. Lineage: Eukaryota; Viridiplantae; Streptophyta; Magnoliopsida; Poales; Poaceae.